UGGGGAAUAUUGGACAAUGGGCGAAAGCCUGAUCCAGCCAUGCCGCGUGUGUGAAGAAGGUCUUCGGAUUGUAAAGCACUUUAAGUUGGGAGGAAGGGCAGUUACCUAAUACGUAUCUGUUUUGACGUUACCGACAGAAUAAGCACCGGCUAACUCUGUGCCAGCAGCCGCGGUAAUACAGAGGGUGCAAGCGUUAAUCGGAAUUACUGGGCGUAAAGCGCGCGUAGGUGGUUUGUUAAGUUGGAUGUGAAAUCCCCGGGCUCAACCUGGGAACUGCAUUCAAAACUGACAAGCUAGAGUAUGGUAGAGGGUGGUGGAAUUUCCUGUGUAGCGGUGAAAUGCGUAGAUAUAGGAAGGAACACCAGUGGCGAAGGCGACCACCUGGACUGAUACUGACGCUGAGACGCGAAAGCGUGGGGAGCAAACAGGAUUAGAUACCCCCGUAGUCCCUGAGCGGGCUGGCAAGGCGCAU
This 472-nucleotide ribosomal RNA is filed under the name uncultured bacterium. RNAcentral describes it as "bacterial SSU rRNA". It matches the Rfam family "Bacterial small subunit ribosomal RNA", at positions 355 to 825 of the family's 1533-position model. The record is from RNAcentral.